CCUACACAUGCAGUCGAACGCCCCGCAAGGGGAGUGGCAGACGGGUCUGUAACACGUGGGAACCUUCCCUAUAGUACGGAAUAGCCCAGGGUAAACUUGGAGUAAUACCGUAUACGCCCGAAAGGGGAAAGAAUUUCGCUAUAGGAUGGGCCCGCGUAGGAUUAGCUAGUUGGUGAGGUAAUGGCUCACCAAGGCGACGAUCCUUAGCUGGUUUGAGAGAACGACCAGCCACACUGGGACUGAGACACGGCCCAGACUCCUACGGGAGGCAGCAGUGGGGAAUAUUGGACAAUGGGCGCAAGCCUGAUCCAGCCAUGCCGCGUGAGUGAUGAAGGCCUUAGGGUUGUAAAGCUCUUUUGGCGGGGACGAUAAUGACGGUACCCGCAGAAUAAGUCCCGGCUAACUUCGUGCCAGCAGCCGCGGUAAUACGAAGGGGACUAGCGUUGUUCGGAAUCACUGGGCGUAAAGCGCACGUAGGCGGAUAUGCCAGUCAGGGGUGAAAUCCCGGGGCUCAACCUCGGAACUGCCCUUGAUACAGCAUGUCUUGAGUCCGAUAGAGGUGGGUGGAAUUCCUAGUGUAGAGGUGAAAUUCGUAAAUAUUAGGAAGAACACCGGUGGCGAGGGCGGCCCACUUGGAUCGGUACUGACGCUGAAGGGCGAAAGCGUGGGGAGCAAACAGGGAUUAGAUACCCUGGGUAAUCCACGCCCGUAAACGAAUGGAUGCUAGCCCGUCGG
Molecule: ribosomal RNA, 735 nt
Filed under: Hyphomicrobium sp. PBN-H4
Lineage: Bacteria; Pseudomonadati; Pseudomonadota; Alphaproteobacteria; Hyphomicrobiales; Hyphomicrobiaceae
Description: bacterial SSU rRNA
Rfam family: Bacterial small subunit ribosomal RNA
Source: RNAcentral